UGCAAUUUUUGUUACUUUUUUAGUGUCAAGGGCUAUAUGGAUUCAACUGGACAUUACUGGAGAAUUCCAGCAUGGCACGCAUGAGCAAAGCUAGCGUCGCUUAGGCUGAAC
Phalaenopsis equestris is the source of this 111-nucleotide long non-coding RNA. RefSeq lists it as uncharacterized. The transcript is spliced from 2 exons. Lineage: Eukaryota; Viridiplantae; Streptophyta; Magnoliopsida; Asparagales; Orchidaceae. The record is from RefSeq and is a predicted model, not a curated record.